Molecule: non-coding RNA, 95 nt
Filed under: Dactyliosolen fragilissimus
Lineage: Eukaryota; Bacillariophyta; Coscinodiscophyceae; Rhizosoleniales; Rhizosoleniaceae
Source: RNAcentral
CCCUGUCGUAGUGCUAGAUAUACUCCCAACGGUGGUGGAGGUUCACCCUUGACUGCGAAGCAGAGUGACUUUCCUGUCACACCUGGUGCUGAGAU